UUUGGAGAAUGCUGGCGAUAUCAUAUGGGAAAAGCAAGGCUGCUUAAAGCCACUCCAAGUGAGGUCCUAAAGCUGAGGACGUGCUGGUGGAGCUGUGUGAAAGAGUUUAAUCUUAGUGAUAUGCAUGAAGAUGGAAUGCAAAAAAAUGCUGGUGGUGUUCUGUUUGCACUUCUUAUGAGCCAUGAAGAUGGUCUGCAAGUGUCGACUUGUUCAGAAAGCACCCAGUAGAUAUGGUUCACGUCCUAGUAGGUAUAAGAAGUGCUGACAGGUCUGGUCUUGCCUUCCCUGUUUACCCCCAGAAUGCUGAGACUCACUGGAGUACCCCAACUCAGCUCUUCCUCUACUUUUAUUCUCAUGCUCAGGUGGCACACAGAGGUCCAAACCAUGCAUAUCUCCAUUUCUGCUGGACAAAUACGUUCUGCAUGAGGUCCACCUCAUCCAACUGCAGCCUGGCUGGCAUGGUCCCCAGCUCGUCCUUGGAAUCUCAGCACAGGGCCAUGGUGGAUGACAAAAGCAAAGACUCAUUCUCAGGGCACAUCUGUGUGUGAUGUGGUGUCCUCCAGUGGAUGAGAUCCACCAGCAAAUGUGGUUUGGGGAACAUCCCUUAAGAACCAGUGAGGGAGGCUAAUGGAUUCCCUUUGGGGAAAGCAAAGCCCGUAGCAGAAAAGCUGGUGGUAAAUGAAUGGAAGUCCAAUGAAGGAACUCGGAACUGUGAAGAUUCAGCCCAUUAGUGGGGCUGCUUAACCUAAACCAGAUUUCUGUAGGAAAUAACUCCAGGACACCACAAACUAUGCACUGCUGCUGCUUGGAUAAGUCCAUACUCUAUCAUCCCAGUCUAUUUUUUCCCCAUCUUCCCUUCCAAGCAUUGUUCCAAGCCCAAAGGCGCUGCCGCAGCCAGCUGGGUGCCCUGGGAACAAACUUUCCCACCACUUUCUCUCUCCCCAUGACGGACAUGGGGGGAAGCAGACAAGAGGUCUCAUCAAAGCUGGUGGAAAGUUCUUGUGUGUGUGUGUGUUAUUAUUUAGGAGCCCGGCUGGAAGGAGGUAACGCUGGUGCUCCAUCUCUGUCACAAGCAAAGCGGUGCUGGGGUUGAGUUCGUUGCUUGGGUUGCAUGGGGCAGGCUGGCAAGCAAGAAGCCUGCCUGAAAAAUCAGGAUGGAGGAGACAAUAUUCAACUGUUUUCCAGGUUUGGAGAAUGAUGUUCUCAUGACUUCAAGUGGAGGGAAACAGACCAACACAUCCCCACUGCACUCUCUUCUCCCCCACUUGGAGCCUUGGUCGUUGCAGUUGCUGGAUGAAAGAAAAGCCUGAAAGGAGCAUGAAUUGCAUUCCUGGAAAAGGCAACAAGUCCUCAAGGCAACUUUCUAGAUGUCUUUUCUGGUUUCAGCAUGAAUUUGCACCAGAGAAGCUGUAAAUGAAGGAAUCUUUAGUAAACAGUGCUGCUUGAAACGCAUUUGGAACAGUUUUCCAGGUGAUAUAACUCCACAAACGUCAGCAGGAAUGGACGUGGGGUUGGAAAAUCACGGUCAACAGGAUUGCAAAACGACCAGCUGCCGGCUCUUUGUUUCUUACAGCAACAUGAUGAAAUGGUGGCAUUUUAAUUCACAUUAUUGAGCUUCUCACAUGUUUACUUGCUUGGGUCUGUCUUUAACCCUGUGGGCAGCCCUUCCUUGUGUGCCCCAGACUCUUGAUUUCGAUGGGACAGGGUGUCUUUGUGGCUCCCAACCAGAUGAAUCACCCUCUUCCCACCGCUGCCCGGGGAACGCAGGCUGUGACUGAGCACUGCUGGCCCCAGAGAGGGAAUCUGCAGCCCCUCUGAGCGCUGACCUCAUGGCCAGCUGGAUUUAAGGGAUUUGAGCCCACUUUUGUGACUGUCCCCAAGCUCUGUGCUCUUUGCAUCCAUUGUUCCACACAGUGCUGUCCACAUUUAGUUGAGACAUCUCCCAGGCCGAUGCUAUACCCUGGGGCAGCCCAUCCCCACUGUUUCGGGUGCCUUAGGGCAGCUCCAUGUUCCUGCAGCGAGCACAGCAGCUGAGCCUUGCUACCAACCCCAUCCAUCCAGAGCGUGUGCACUCAGCAUCACCUCAGUGGUCAACAAGAGCCGGUAGAUGCCAAAUAAAACCCCAUCAUUAAAACCCUCAGUGAGUGAUUUCAAUCCAUCUGUCUGCCCAAAGCAUCCUCAGCAGGGGCUGUGCAAUCUCAGGCCAUCGCCCCCAACAAGCUCCUUUGAACUCCAACCCACUGGGCCACGGCGGCCGUGAGCCAGCCUUGUCUGAACAUGGUUUUAAUCUGGUUGGAUAUAUUUAAUGCACCGACAUGUCUUAAACUGGAGGAGAUCUAAGCCCUGCCUGGCAGGUGUGAUGGAAAGCAGACACCGCCUCCAUUGGCUCUCUGGCUCUGGAGGUGCUGCUGGGAAAACGGGAUGAGAAGCACUGGCCCAGGCAUUCUGUAGUGCACAAACAUUCACCAAAAUUGGGUGAGGUGAGAGGGAAAGGCACAAAGUGGCAAGAAAAAACAAACACGGAAAAGGGAACAGAAGGCAAGAGAAAAAUGGAGGUAACCAGAAAAGGACAUAGAGAGGAGAUGGAGGGUGAUGUGCUGGAGCCUUGGAGGACCCACCAAAUGGCACCAGCUUCUCUACCAAAGCUGCCUUCAAUAAAUGUCUUGUUUCCAGCAAAACUCAAAACCAAACUCCUUUCCUGUGUGGGGUGCCUUUAAAAUGGUGCAUUUUUAAAGGAAAUUCUUAUUUAAUACGACCAUCCUCAUUUUUCAAGUAAAAGAGCAAAGCUAUCUCCAGGAAAAGGGAAAGAAAGAAAUUUGCACCUGUAGUCAAAAUGCUGAGUCACGGCCUGAAGCAGUGAUGGAGCACCUGGGGGGAAGGCAGGGCCAGCCCAGGGCAGCUCAGGUGCAUGCAAUGUGCUGAGUGAUGGAAGGGCUGCAGCCAGGAUCCACCCCUUCCCAGCCCUCAUUUAAGGGUUGGCAGUGGAGGUAGGGGGUCUUGCUGGAGGUUACUGUGUACCUGAGGCCUUCUAAAGAACGCACCUAUGGAAGGAGCAGUGCAUCCGUUGGGUUAAAACCCUCCCUCUGCCUCUUCAGAACCAACGAACCCACCUGUACCACCAGCACAGCACGGACCCAU
Gallus gallus (chicken) is the source of this 3138-nucleotide long non-coding RNA. RefSeq lists it as uncharacterized. The record is from RefSeq and is a predicted model, not a curated record. The transcript has 4 exons. Lineage: Eukaryota; Metazoa; Chordata; Aves; Galliformes; Phasianidae.